Oncorhynchus keta (chum salmon) is the source of this 3929-nucleotide long non-coding RNA. RefSeq lists it as uncharacterized. Lineage: Eukaryota; Metazoa; Chordata; Actinopteri; Salmoniformes; Salmonidae. The transcript has 3 exons. The record is from RefSeq and is a predicted model, not a curated record.
UUGUUUACCUUGUUACCUGGGAAAGACCACAAGGCUGUUUAAAAGAGCUGUCAGUGAAGGUGAACUCAUGGAUAUACGCUCCCUGUCCCACUGGGUCUGUUCUUUCAGGAUUUCUGAUAGUAAGAGAUGAGAGAAGGUACAAUUUAUUCAAUUCCGAGCAUUUUAAUAGAGUAAGAGUAAAGAUGUUAUGGAUGAUGUGUUGGUAUUUUUACAUGGGAAAAGGGAUGACAGGACCUUUAGUAACCUGUCUUAUGUAACCAUAUCAAAUGUAACAUACUGUAUCAUACUAAUUUGAACGUUUCGAAUUUGAAUUUAUGUUAUUUCUAGUCUAUGAGACUCUCCAUCACCACAUCUCUACCAUUCUGAAAAUAUGUGAAUUUACCUUGUAAAUUAAGAAAUGUUUCAAGGUUUAAAGGUGCAUUAUGGAGAUAUCGUUCUGUAAUUUCCUGGUUGCUAAACGUCUAAUAGUUUGCCUAAUUUCAGUUUAUGUGACAAACAAGCAAUGAAGAUCAUUGUACCAUCUAAACCGCUGUGAAAUAUAUUUUCUAUAACCAAAAAUAUUGUAUUUUCAGCUGUUUGAAAUUAAGCAGGUGUACAAAACUGAAAGUAAAAGAUACAAAAACAAAAUGUAAGAACAGGAAGCAUAGAAAUAUUGCACAUAGAACAGAUUUCUUCGCUUCUUGGACUUGCUUUCAAUGAGUGACAGAUCCAUAACUCAUAUUUCGGUGUGAAUUUGAUUGGGUGGGUCUUCCAAAAAUGUACAUAUUGCAGCUUUAAAAGCAACACUGGUCAGUAAAUGUUUUACUUUGUAACCAGCUAGUGGGCUGCUACUGCUAUUGACAGUGUACAACUAACUGCAGCCCGCCAGUUGGGGCAUUCCUGCAUGAAGUAUUAUCUUGAGUUUUAUCGACACCGCCUACUUUAGGCUGUAGAAAAAGCUAUCCAAAUAGCCAUUUUACUGGUUGAAGUUGAAGUGUUUAUUUAUUUAUUUUAUUUUUACGUAUAAUGCAGUUGAUGCGAUGAUAACACAAGCAUUGAGCAGGAUAUUCAUACGAGCCGUCAAAUCAUUAUACAAAAGUAGUGUGAAAUGCGUUCAUAAGAAGCAGGCUUUUUUUCUGGAGUUCUAUAACAACACCUUGUUCUGUCACCAAUGUGCCCGCAUCGCCCUCGUGCGGCAAUGUUUGCCAGUCUACCGGUCGCCCCCGUUAGUACAGCAGACCGUAGUGAGCUAACGCGCGGUGUCGCUCCCGCCUGCUGGGAUAAACUGCCAGACAGACGGGGGUGAAGGACACGCUGUCUACUGGUCGUCCCCGCAACUCAUUGGUAACUAGUUAUGUUGUAAUGUAGUGUUUAUCUGCAGUUCUGAUGCAUUACCGUAGUGGAGCGCCCCUGUCUUCCGCCUAUGUACUGGAGUCAUAGUUUAAAGACUGACAAUAUAAAUAUAAAGACUGGUUCCUGAAGAUGCAGGAAAGCCCACAUACAGGAACACCCCGAAUUGCGGGCUGCAGUUGUACUCUUCUCACUGAAAUGGGUGGUCUGGUCUGUCAUUGGUCCUGGUGAGGGUUUAUAACGUGAUAUGUCACCCGCGGAGUGAGGGUAGGGUGUUUUUUCUCUCUUCGGUGACAGGAUUAUCAUCUCAGCGUUUUAACACACCGCUAAACCGCAGAUCAAAAGUCGGGAAAGGUUCUGUUCGCUAUUACAAUGUAGUAGUGAAGUGGAAUAAGACAAACAGCUUUACCUAUACAACGGAAGGUAUUUGUAUGACGACAAGACCCCGAAGUGACAAUUCAUCGUCAAUAAUGUAUGUAUGAAUAUGUUUGUGAAUUUUAGGCUAUCUAUCAAUAUGAUAUUCUUCAUAUUUGUGUGGUCUAUAAUUUCUUACCAACGGAUAGCUGCACCCAGACCAUCUCUGCCUGGAUUGUGAUUAGCCUAGUUUGUUUUUGUCAAGCAAUUGUCAGGCAUUAUGCUAAGGGAUGCCUUUUGAGAUAACAGUUAUAUUCAUAUGAUUACAAUGGAGACUGAAAUAGGCUAUGGACAUAAACACAACAACAACUCGUUUUCACUUAGUCGUUAUUUAUACGUUGUAAACUGGUCCGAAUGUGAAAGAUUCCUGUUUGAACAGCAGUUUAUGCCAGGUCAUGCAUGUCCUCUGCUGCAGAACAGUGGCUGGAUUAUGCAUCAGCAUAGCUAACAAUUAUUCCAGUGGCAUAUACUGAAAAUAUAUCUGAAACGUAUUUGGAAUACAUGCCGUUGAUGUGGACCCCCAUUGAUUUGGCAGCCUUGACUGCCAGCCAGAUAGCUUUGUGUGGGAUCGCUGUGUCAUAACCCACUGGGCAGUCAUCAAUUCAACAUCUAUUCCAAAUUGGUUCUACAUCAUUUCAUUUAAAUGACGUGGAAACAAUGUUGAUUCAACCGGUGUGUGUGUACUUCUACUAUAUCAAUAAGAGCCUCAGCCAAUGGGAAUGUUGUUGUGUGUGUGUGCAUGUGUGUGUAUGUUUAUGUGUGUAUACAUGCUUCCGUGUGUAUGUGUGUGGUGUCUGUUAGGUGAGAUAAGAUGAUAAACUAGGUACAGUUAAUGCAGUUAUUGACUAAUCCUAUGAAAGGAGUGACUGUAUUAAAGGUUACCUUUCUCUCCGACCUGGCUGUCAGUGAAUGGGCUCGUGCCUCACCUCACCACACCUCACCUCACCUCACUACAGCCUCACCUCUAAUCUGAGUGGCCCUAGGAUGUAAUGGUACUACUGUGACAUGUGUCUUACAUUGUGGACUAGGAUUAAGUUACGCCUGAUCUAGGGUUUGCGUCGUUUUAUUUUAUUAACCCUAACCCUGGGCCUAUAUUGUGAGUAUCUUGUGAUUGGUUGUAAACCAGGAAGCAGUUUUAUGUCCUUGAGGGGGGAGUGGAGGAAACUUUUCAUCAGAAUAAGUUCCUUUAACACGUGGCCUUGUGUUUGUAUUAGUGGGGAUGGCAGAAUGUGUCGGGAGUGCGGCAGUGGGGGGCGGGGUAAUUAUGUAAUUGUUCUGAAAUGCCACGGCUCUGUAGUGUUGUCACAUUGAGGGAGAGAGGUGAGGCAUGAGGAAAGAGAACGAGAGAGAGGUGAGGCAUGAGGAAAGAGAAUGAGAGAGAGGUGAGGCAUGAGGAAAGAGAACGAGAGAGAGGUGAGGCAUGAGGAAAGAUAACGAGAGAGAGGUGAGGCAUGAGAAGAGAGAGGUGGGGCAUGAGGAAAGAGAACGAGAGAGAGGUGAGGCAUGAGAAGAGAGAGGUGGGGCAUGAGGAGAGAGAGGUGGGGCAUGAGGAGAGAGAGAUGGGGCAUGACGAGAGAGAGAGGUGAGGCAUGAGAAGAGGGAGGUGGGGCAUGAGGAAAGAGAACGAGAGAGAGGUGAGGCAUGAGAAGAGAGGUGGGGCAUGAGGAAAGAGAACGAGAGAGAGGUGAGGCAUGAGAAGAGAGAGGUGGGGCAUGAGGAAAGAGAACGAGAGAGAGGUGAGGCAUGAGAAGAGAGAGGUGGGGCAUGAGGAAAGAGAACGAGAGAGAGGUGAGGCAUGAGAAGAGAGAGGUGGGGCAUGAGGAGAGAGAGGUGGGGCAUGAGGAAAGAGAACGAGAGAGAGGCGAGGCAUGAGAAGAGAGAGGUGGGGCAUGAGGAAAGAGAACAAGAGAGAGGUGAGGCAUGAGAAGAGAGAGGUGAGGCAUGAGAAGAGAGAGGUGGGGCAUGAGGAAAGAGAACGAGAGAGAGGUGAGGCAUGAGAAGAGAGAGGUGGGGCAUGAGCAAAGAGAACGAGAGAGAGGUGAGGCAUGAGAAGAGAGAGGUGGGGCAUGAGGAGAGAGAGGUGGGGCAUGAGGAGAGAGAUGGGGCAUGACGAGAGAGAGAGGUGAGGCAUGAGAAGAGAGAGGUGGGGCAUGAGGAAAGAGAGGUGGGGCAUGAGAAGAGAGAGG